GCCUCGGCAGUGCAGCUGGUUAGCCAACUCCCCGGGAAAGGGUGAAAUACGGGUUCGAUUCCCGUCUGAGGUU
Molecule: non-coding RNA, 73 nt
Organism: Parelaphostrongylus tenuis
Lineage: Eukaryota; Metazoa; Nematoda; Chromadorea; Rhabditida; Metastrongylidae
Source: the annotation of a GenBank genome assembly